UGCAGGGAGAGAAGACAUUCUACCAACAGGUCCCACCGCCUUAAAUCUCGUGGUGCCCAGCUGUGAAGAAACAGAGGCACAGGUUGGCUGAUAUGCUCCCAGCUGGGCUGCUCCACAAAGACCUUUGAAGGGUGCCAGGCCGUCCACACAGGACAGCUAGGACGGCUCAGCCAGCUUCUGGAAGUGCCCAAAAAUGGGCACGCACUCCUGGGUCACAGACGUCAGGACAGAGGCAGUGACAGGCAAGGGAGGCUUGGAGCACACACAGCCUGGCCUGACUCAAGUCUGCCUCCAGGCGAUGCCAAACCUCUGCAGGCUUGCUUGGAGUCCUGCUCCCACAGUGUUCUGCUGGGUCGUGGGUACAGCCAGCCCACUGAUGCAGUGAGCUACAGAGAGCACAGCAGCCACAGCACCGUCCUGUCAGUCACCGACUGGUCCACGCCACGGCUCUCCUCACCGCAGGCCAUAAGGGAACCUGGGCAGUCAGCCUGGCUCCCCAGCGGAAAUGUGCAAUCUCCCUCUUGGGUAUGUGGCGGGGACCUCUCCUCAAGAUAGAGGGGGCCACUGAGAAAACAUAAGUGGGACCCACUCCCAGCUCAGAUUCACAUUGUGGGGUCCACAGGGCUGGAGACCAGAUCCCAAAGCACCCCUACGGUGGUUCACAGCAGCCCACACGGGUUGCCACAUUGUGGACAGCUAUACCACAGGUCACCAAGGACCUGCACCCCACCUAGGACACCUACAAAAGCUCAGCACCCUGGGGGAGAAGCUCUUAGAGGUUGUGCAGAAGGUUCAAUGGGUUGGGCCCCUCCUGUCUCCCUCUCCUCACUGGGCCACUGAACAGCAACAGCACGGCAGGCAUUGGAAGGCGUGCCCGCAAGGCUAGUGCCACAAGGUGCCAGCCAGCACUGUGGGCCUCAAGGAUGGUGAGGAGACAGGUGUGGCCAGGGGCUCACACCAGGCCCCAGGUACCUCCAGGGGCAGGUGCAGAGGCAGGAGACUGGCGGAGACUGGACCAGGGCCACCUACUUUUCACUCUUGCCCGGCCAGGGCCACACCCGGGCAACUGUCACUCAGAGUAUCCCUCCACACAUGCAGUCACCAGGGAGUCCACGAAGCACUGACAGGGCUGACGGUGGCUCAGUGAACCUAGCAUGCAGGAAGCCGUGGGACCAUCCCUAACACAAACCAAAUCUGGGGGCUGGAGAGACGGCUCAGAGGUUAAGAGCACCGACUGCUCUUCCAGAGGUCCUGAGUUCAAUUCCCAGCAACCACAUGGUGGCUCACAACCAUCCGUAAUGAGAUCUGGUGCCCUUU
This is a long non-coding RNA of Mesocricetus auratus (golden hamster), 1317 nucleotides long. RefSeq lists it as uncharacterized. NCBI's taxonomy places the organism in Eukaryota, Metazoa, Chordata, Mammalia, Rodentia, Cricetidae. The transcript is spliced from 3 exons. The record is from RefSeq and is a predicted model, not a curated record.